RNAcentral lists this non-coding RNA (24 nucleotides) under Arabidopsis thaliana (thale cress). Lineage: Eukaryota; Viridiplantae; Streptophyta; Magnoliopsida; Brassicales; Brassicaceae. The record is from RNAcentral.
AACUCAUAGGAUUAUGCCACGUGU